Molecule: ribosomal RNA, 1027 nt
Filed under: Escherichia coli
Lineage: Bacteria; Pseudomonadati; Pseudomonadota; Gammaproteobacteria; Enterobacterales; Enterobacteriaceae
Description: partial 23S ribosomal RNA
Rfam family: Bacterial large subunit ribosomal RNA
Source: RNAcentral
GAACUGAAACAUCUAAGUACCCCGAGGAAAAGAAAUCAACCGAGAUUCCCCCAGUAGCGGCGAGCGAACGGGGAGGAGCCCAGAGCCUGAAUCAGUGUGUGUGUUAGUGGAAGCGUCUGGAAAGGCGCGCGAUACAGGGUGACAGCCCCGUACACAAAAAUGCACAUGCUGUGAGCUCGAUGAGUAGGGCGGGACACGUGGUAUCCUGUCUGAAUAUGGGGGGACCAUCCUCCAAGGCUAAAUACUCCUGACUGACCGAUAGUGAACCAGUACCGUGAGGGAAAGGCGAAAAGAACCCCGGCGAGGGGAGUGAAAAAGAACCUGAAACCGUGUACGUACAAGCAGUGGGAGCACAGAGCAAUCUGUGUGACUGCGUACCUUUUGUAUAAUGGGUCAGCGACUUAUAUUCUGUAGCAAGGUUAACCGAAUAGGGGAGCCGAAGGGAAACCGAGUCUUAACUGGGCGUUAAGUUGCAGGGUAUAGACCCGAAACCCGGUGAUCUAGCCAUGGGCAGGUUGAAGGUUGGGUAACACUAACUGGAGGACCGAACCGACUAAUGUUGAAAAAUUAGCGGAUGACUUGUGGCUGGGGGUGAAAGGCCAAUCAAACCGGGAGAUAGCUGGUUCUCCCCGAAAGCUAUUUAGGUAGCGCCUCGUGAAUUCAUCUCCGGGGGUAGAGCACUGUUUCGGCAAGGGGGUCAUCCCGACUUACCAACCCGAUGCAAACUGCGAAUACCGGAGAAUGUUAUCACGGGAGACACACGGCGGGUGCUAACGUCCGUCGUGAAGAGGGAAACAACCCAGACCGCCAGCUAAGGUCCCAAAGUCAUGGUUAAGUGGGAAACGAUGUGGGAAGGCCCAGACAGCCAGGAUGUUGGCUUAGAAGCAGCCAUCAUUUAAAGAAAGCGUAAUAGCUCACUGGUCGAGUCGGCCUGCGCGGAAGAUGUAACGGGGCUAAACCAUGCACCGAAGCUGCGGCAGCGACACUGUGUGUUGUUGGGUAGGGGAGCGUUCUGUAAGCCUGUGAA